Molecule: small nuclear RNA, 107 nt
Organism: Choloepus didactylus (southern two-toed sloth)
Lineage: Eukaryota; Metazoa; Chordata; Mammalia; Pilosa; Megalonychidae
Source: RefSeq, a predicted model, not a curated record
GUGCUUGAUUCAGUGGCACAUAUACUAAAGUUGGAACAAUACAGAGAAUAUUAGCAUGACCCCUGCACAAGGAUGACAUGAAAAUCCAUGAAGAUUUCCAUAUUUUU